AGCAUAUUCAACACAUAUUACCAAUAGUCAUGAACACAUAUAUAUCCAACACAUGUUACCAAUAGUAGCAAGUUUCAUCCGUACAUAUACCUAGUUUCAUCAAUAUUACACAGUUUCAUCCAUAAGUAGCAAGUUUCACAAGGUCAAAACAAAAACUAAAUACAAGCACUCCAUCAACCCAAGCUUCCGUGAUCUUAAGCAAAUCUGUAAAAUGGGAAAGAAGAAAGUUAGAAGAAGAAGACUAGAAGAAGAUUAUUAUGAUGCGGAAAUAUGCAUGGAUUGUCAAAACUUGCAUUAUCCUACUAUCACUAGUACAACAAAGCUGCAGGUUGGCAUAGUUCAUGAACCAUGUACAUCAUGACAAAUACAAUAUCAUCCAAUGCUCGACUAUGAACAAAAUUGAACAAUUACACCUCACAAAGGCAGAGCAUAGAACCAACAAGCAAGUAGGAGGGGUAUAAGAGGACUUGAGGAGCUCACUCGAGGGGGUUCUAGCCUAGGCCGAGCUUCAUCACCAUGGAUGCAUCUAGGGGAAUCAAACGAGUCUACCAUCA
RNAcentral lists this long non-coding RNA (554 nucleotides) under Triticum aestivum (bread wheat). RNAcentral describes it as "long non-coding RNA (TAES_LNC001627)". The record is from RNAcentral. Lineage: Eukaryota; Viridiplantae; Streptophyta; Magnoliopsida; Poales; Poaceae.